CAAUAUAUGAGGCCGGCGCACGGGUGCGUAACGCGUAUGCAACCUACCUUUUACAGGGGAAUAGCCCAGAGAAAUUUGGAUUAAUGCCCCAUGGUAUAUUUCAGUGGCAUCACUGGAUUAUUAAAGUUCCAACGGUAAAAGAUGGGCAUGCGUCCCAUUAGCUAGAUGGUAAGGUAACGGCUUACCAUGGCUACGAUGGGUAGGGGUCCUGAGAGGGAGGUCCCCCACACUGGUACUGAGACACGGACCAGACUCCUACGGGAGGCAGCAGUGAGGAAUAUUGGACAAUGGGCGCAAGCCUGAUCCAGCCAUGCCGCGUGCAGGAAGAAGCAUCUAUGGUGUGUAAACUGCUUUUGUACGGGAAGAAACACCUCUACGUGUAGAGGCUUGACGGUACCGUAAGAAUAAGGAUCGGCUAACUCCGUGCCAGCAGCCGCGGUAAUACGGAGGAUCCAAGCGUUAUCCGGAAUCAUUGGGUUUAAAGGGUCCGUAGGCGGUUUGGUAAGUCAGUGGUGAAAGCCCAUCGCUUAACGAUGGAACGGCCAUUGAUACUGCCAGACUUGAAUUACUGGGAAGUAACUAGAAUAUGUAGUGUAGCGGUGAAAUGCUUAGAUAUUACAUGGAAUACCAAUUGCGAAGGCAGGUUACUACCAGUUGAUUGACGCUGAUGGACGA
Molecule: ribosomal RNA, 675 nt
Filed under: uncultured Bacteroidota bacterium
Lineage: Bacteria; Pseudomonadati; Bacteroidota
Description: bacterial SSU rRNA
Rfam family: Bacterial small subunit ribosomal RNA
Source: RNAcentral